This 492-nucleotide ribosomal RNA is filed under the name uncultured bacterium. RNAcentral's name for it is "partial 16S ribosomal RNA". It matches the Rfam family "Bacterial small subunit ribosomal RNA", at positions 29 to 507 of the family's 1533-position model. The record is from RNAcentral.
AGUGAACGCUGGCGGUAGGCCUAACACAUGCAAGUCGAACGGCAGCACAGUAAGAGCUUGCUCUUACGGGUGGCGAGUGGCGGACGGGUGAGGAAUACAUCGGAAUCUACUUUUUCGUGGGGGAUAACGUAGGGAAACUUACGCUAAUACCGCAUACGACCUACGGGUGAAAGCAGGGGAUCUUCGGACCUUGCGCGAUUGAAUGAGCCGAUGUCGGAUUAGCUAGUUGGCGGGGUAAAGGCCCACCAAGGCGACGAUCCGUAGCUGGUCUGAGAGGAUGAUCAGCCACACUGGAACUGAGACACGGCCCAGACUCCUACGGGAGGCAGCAGUGGGGAAUAUUGGACAAUGGGCGCAAGCCUAAUCCAGCCAUACCGCGUGGGUGAAGAAGGCCUUCGGGUUGUAAAGCCCUUUUGUUGGGAAAGAAAAGCAGCAGGUUAAUACCCCGCUGUCCUGACGGUACCCAAAGAAUAAGCACCGGCUAACUUCGUG